Molecule: transfer RNA, 72 nt
Filed under: Nostoc sp.
Lineage: Bacteria; Bacillati; Cyanobacteriota; Cyanophyceae; Nostocales; Nostocaceae
Also listed under: 34 other names
Description: tRNA-Gln
Rfam family: tRNA
About the family: Transfer RNA (tRNA) molecules are approximately 80 nucleotides in length. Their secondary structure includes four short double-helical elements and three loops (D, anti-codon, and T loops).
Source: RNAcentral
UGGGGCGUCGCCAAGUGGUAAGGCAGCGGGUUUUGGUCUCGCCAUCCCUGGGUUCGAAUCCUAGCGCCCCAG